Molecule: long non-coding RNA, 279 nt
Filed under: Sinocyclocheilus anshuiensis
Lineage: Eukaryota; Metazoa; Chordata; Actinopteri; Cypriniformes; Cyprinidae
Description: lncRNA (ENSSANG00000041596.1)
Source: RNAcentral
CUGCCUGUCUGUCACUCUCAUACACAUUCUCAGGGUGACAAAGGACAGAAAGGAGAAGUCGGAGCCACAGGUUUGCCCGGAAAUCCAGGCAAAGAUGGUCGAGCUAAUCCUAUUUGUGUGGUGGGCCCUAAAGGACAAAAGGGUGUUCCUGGUGUAGUUGGUCCAGAGGGGCUUGCAGGAGAAUCAGGCCGCCCAGGACCUCCUGGACCACCUGGAGUUGGAAAACCAGGACCACCAGGGCCCCCUGGUGGAACUCCAGAAUCUAAAGGAGAAAAAGUA